UAGAAGAACCGACACUAAUGAUUGAAUCUGACUCAGAUUUGAUGAGAUUAAACCUGGAGCCCAAUGAACAAACAUCCUUAAGGCGAUCCGAUAGAGUACCGCAUCAGGCGGACGGAUACUUAGGUUUCUUAGUCCGAGAUGGAGAUUCUGUCGAAUUCGAUGAGAAUGAUGAGGAUCCGAUCACCUACAUGGAUACAAUAUAGAGAUCUGACUCUGAUAAAUAGCUUGAAGCCA
RNAcentral lists this long non-coding RNA (234 nucleotides) under Elaeis guineensis (African oil palm). Its description in RNAcentral is "long non-coding RNA (EGUI_LNC041510)". Lineage: Eukaryota; Viridiplantae; Streptophyta; Magnoliopsida; Arecales; Arecaceae. The record is from RNAcentral.